CUUGUUUCUUCUUGGACUUGCCAUAGAGAUAGGAUUUUCUCAGAACUUAGGUCAGCUUAAAUUUUCAGUAACAAAAAGGAGCACGUACAUUUGUGUGUAGAGGGUGUAUUUGGAUGUUUCCUUGUUGGAGACGGGNGGUAAAUGAGGAGCAUGCGCAAUUAUGGAAAUUGAAAGAGAAUUGACUUUGAGUUGAUGACUAUGGUUAAGCACAAAAUGAAUUUUUCAGAUCCAGUCAUUUGGAAAGGAUUGAAAUUAAUACAAUUAAAGGGAUACGUUUUAAAAGACAGUUUUUUUUUUUUUUUUUCUAAGUGAAAAAUGGCUUUUCUUUAAGAAUAAUGCACACAUGAGGACAAUACCUAUCCCGGCCAAAUCCCUUGCCUGCUGAAAAAAAAUCUUAUCCCUGAUAAGAAAUAACUUCUUGACCCUAGGGGUUACAUUUAAACGAAGGUGAGCUGUUUUUCUUGAAAACCUUUGGCUUUUAUCCUGUUCUUAAUCUCUUUCAGUUCUGAGAGGGGAAGCCAUUGAUUAGGUGACCUUUGGAACUCUGCCUUAAAAGCCUAUAGUGUCUUUCACUGUUUCAUGGUCUUCUAAGCCUAGGUUGAAUGGAGAUAAAUUACAGUAGUUUUGUUUCUUAACUUGAUUAUAUUUUUUUGGCAUGAAAUCCUUCCCAUCUUUCCUUAAAAAUGUCGAAGCUUGCAAAACUGCUACUCAUUAAGCACAGGUGCGAGAAGGAAAAAUAAACUGCCCCAUGGGCAGCCCUCGUGGGUAAAAUAUCUGAGCAGUUUGUCUGGAAUUGACAGGCCCUGCAACCAGGGGAAAAAAAAAUACUUGAUGAGGAUUUUAAUUUAUGCCUUGAAAGCUUGCCAGUUUUCACUUAAUCAGCAUUUUGUUUAUAUUUUUAGUUACUUUAUUAUUUAAUCAGCACUUUUAAAAGCCUUAAUCUGUGCCCUUUGAUUUUUACCAGGAGUGCUCUUUUUCUCAUUAGAGGGAUGUAUCUCCCAACAGCCUUUGCAAAGGAGUCUUGUUCAUCCAGUAAAGUGGAAUGAACUACUGUGUAGCUGGAAUGCUCACCCAGAAACUGUGUUAUAGAACAUUUCAGCUUUCCAAACUAGGUAGUAGUUUCUUGGAAAAGUUUUAUUUUUGGGUGCUCUUGCUCCUUUUCUCAAUUUUCCUUUAUUUUAUGUAGGUGGCUCUAAAAGUUUUGAAAGGCUAAAAGACUUCGACUUGAAAGGUUUUUGACAUUUAAAUUAUUUUCCAUCUUUUUUUGAAUUCACAUAUUUUAAGCAUCUUAUAGGGAGCUAAUUAUGAAGGUUGUGUUAGAUGCUUAAAGACCAUCAUAAACAUUAUUUCUUAAACUUUUUUUUUUAAGAAGACAACACAGCAGAACCUUUAUUUUAUUUUCUUUAUUUAUUUAUUUUUUGUCUUUUUUGCUAUUUCUUUGGGCCGCUCCCGCGGCAUAUGGAGGUUCCCAGGCUAGGGGUUGAAUGGGAGCUGUAGCCACAGGCCUACGCCAGAGCCACAGCAACGCGGGAUCCGAGCCGCGUCUGCAACCUACACCACAGCUCACGGCAACGCCAGAUCGUUAACCCACUGAGCAAGGGCAGGGACCGAACCCACUACCUCAUGGUUCCUAGUCGGAUUCGUUAACCACUGCGCCACGACGAGAACUCCUGUUUCUUAAAUAAACUUUUAUACCAACAAUAGACUACUUUGAUAUAGGUGGUCAAUAAACACUUUCUAUUAGUUAUUAGUUAUUAAAAUUAAGGAUAUAUUCAACUGAAUUGUAGCAAUGAAAGUAUAAUUAUGACUAUCCCUAAAUUCAUGCUGAACCAUUUUCUGGAUAAAUUUGAUAUAUUCUCUCAUUAGCUGUGAAAGUUUUACUGAGAUGGAAUGGGUGUUUAAAAUCAUUACUAUAUUAAACAUGAAAAACUGGAGUUCUCUUGUGGUACAGCAGGUUAAGGAUCUGGCGUUACAACUGUAGCAGCCCAGGUCACUGCUGUGGUGCAGGUUCAGUCCCUAUCUGGGUAACUUCCAAACACCAAGAGUGUGGCCCAAAAACAAAACAAAACAAAAAUGUGAAAAACUAAGACAAUCUUAAGCACAUGAAAAAGGGCAUAAGGAUUUCAGUAUCUGAAGAGAAAUACAUUUAAACAGCUAUAUUUUACUCAGCACUUUCUCUGAGCCAGAACCAGGUCUAAGUACUUUACAGACAUUUUUUUCAUUCUACCAUCAACCACCCUGUGAGGUAAGGACCAUUAUCCUCUUACUCUUACAGAUGAGGACACAAGACUUAGAAAAAUAACUAGAAUGAAGCUUUCUAAAUCCCCAGCCUUGUAGACAUUCUGGUAUCACUUAAUGAUCUCUCUCUAGAAUAAAGGUGUGGGCAAUUGGCUAAAGGAUUUUGUAGAUGACUUUUUCAACCUGAGACUCAUUCAUUCAAACGACGUCACACAGAACCUUGCUGAUUGAUAUGCUGCCAGUUUUUACCUAUUGUAUCCAGGGCCAUUCUUUUGUGAACCAGUUUCUUUCCAAAAGCCUGACUGUGUUUUGGCAUUUGGAUUGGUACCUCUGACUCUCCACUAGACCACAAGCUUGACGGAGCAGAGUCUCUGUCUUGGUACUUAUGAAUGAAAGGAAAGAAAGGCAGAUGAUAAAGACUGAAAUGUACGGUUAGUCAUUAUUAAACCAGCCAGUCACAUUACUAAGUGCCCCGCAUAUGUUAUUUCAGCUUAUCCUCAAAGUAACUGCCAGAAAUAGAUAUCCAUAGCCCCAAUUUAACUCUGUGGCUAGAAAAGUUUAAGAUGAUCCUUAUGCUUCUACAAUGAAAAAAGGAUAGGCUGGAACUUAGUCUUCUUGCCGCAAAACUCAUAUUCUUCACCAAAACAUACAAGGCUUUCCCCCAAGAGAUUUUGCCCCAUUUAAGUUAUAAGAAAUUUGGAAAACUUCUCUGGUGAUUACUUUUUUUGUUCUCCCAGAUCUGCAUGCUCUGUUCUUCACUGCCUUGCUCUGCAUCUUGGGGCUGAUCCCUUGGACUGUACGGCAGACUCCUCUGCCUGCUGCAGGGCAGGAGGACAAAGACAGGACGGUGUUUCUUCUGCAGUCUGGUUUCAGGGCUACAGUUCUGGUGGCAGUGUCCUCUCUGCAGAACAUGCAUUCUCCCUGGGAGCAAGACUGCCCCCAAGAGGGUGAACAUUGGUUGUUGGUGGGUGGGGGGCCGGGGGUGGGGUGGGGAGAGUGAAAAGAAAAAAAAAA
RNAcentral lists this long non-coding RNA (3252 nucleotides) under Sus scrofa (pig). RNAcentral describes it as "lncRNA (ENSSSCG00015050644.1)". Lineage: Eukaryota; Metazoa; Chordata; Mammalia; Artiodactyla; Suidae. The record is from RNAcentral.